RNAcentral lists this long non-coding RNA (646 nucleotides) under Homo sapiens (human). Its description in RNAcentral is "HSALNT0262027". The record is from RNAcentral. Lineage: Eukaryota; Metazoa; Chordata; Mammalia; Primates; Hominidae.
CAGAUCUCUUGGAGUGAAGGCUGUUAGUCGCCGCUAAAGGGAAGAGCUCUCCAACGGGCCCACCCACCUGUCUUAAGGCCUGCAAUCUCAACUCAGGAGGUACUGGGAAUGGUCUGUCCCUGCUCCGGGCUGUUGCUGGCUGUGGGCGGCAUGCCACCCAGGUGCCAAGGUAGAACCCUGGAAGAAGAGGAAGAGGAAGGCAAAGGAGUCAGGGAUGGCUCUUCCUCAGGAAAAACAACUCAAAAACCAUGUUUUCCUCUGCUCUCACACCAACACCACAAUCCACACAGAAGACUUCUGUGGCCAAAUGCGAGGGGUUUCUCCCCACCAACAAACAGCAAGCAACCAACUGGCUGUCCUCCAGUUCAGUUCCAACACUGUCUGCAUGAAGAUAGUGUCAGAUCUCACAGAUUGAUGGCUCAGUUCCCAGUUGCAUGUCCAGGCCUCUGAAACUUCUGACCGACCAACUUCAAGUUGAAGUUCCCAUGAACCCUUCUUUGGGUUGGAUUUAUUUGCUGGAGCAACUCUUAGAGGUCAGAGAAACACUCAGUUUUACUGGUUGAUUAUAAAUACUAUUACAGAAGAUACCAGUGAAGAGAUGCAUAAGGUGAGGUAUGGGGAAAGGGGCGCAGAGCUUCCCUGCCCU